UAAGUGCUUUAGUUCCAUUAUACAUCUAAGUAGUUAUUUGCAUCCUAACUACUUAGCUAUAAGCAUAAGAGCAUCACAUAUUUUUCUUUUGUGUGUUUACUUCUGAACUUUUAGAGAACAAUAUCAUUUUUUAGGAUUCAUUGCAGAGUCUUAAAAGAUAACCUUGCUUGUCUUAAUUCAAGAGAUCCAAUUCUAACACUCAACUUAACGGAAGAAA
Molecule: long non-coding RNA, 217 nt
Filed under: Carica papaya (papaya)
Lineage: Eukaryota; Viridiplantae; Streptophyta; Magnoliopsida; Brassicales; Caricaceae
Description: long non-coding RNA (CPAP_LNC011910)
Source: RNAcentral